Molecule: long non-coding RNA, 983 nt
Filed under: Durio zibethinus
Lineage: Eukaryota; Viridiplantae; Streptophyta; Magnoliopsida; Malvales; Malvaceae
Description: long non-coding RNA (DZIB_LNC000242)
Source: RNAcentral
ACAUUUUUUAUAUAAAAAAUUAUAAUCUAAAAAUAAAUAGAUUAUAAAUAUUAAUAUUAAAAAUUUAAAUCUACUAAAUUUCACAACAUAGGGUGACGGACAUUUCUUCAAGUAAAUUGUGUCGGUGAAGUCAUACACAAGAAAAAGGAAAAACAGCUCAUUCCUCUAAUUAAUUAUUAGACAAGUAAUAGACAUUUAGGUGUUAUCUUAUUCUAAAUUGGAUAUCAGGAGGCAUCAACGGUUCAGGAACGAAGUAACUUGAUUCAUCAAAUCCACAGCCUUCUGACAAGAUGGGUAGACAUGUGAAACACAUGACCCUCUCCUGGAGUCUCGAAAAUGUCUAUCACCCCUUCCCACCCACUCUUUCGUACUGCUUCGUAGUAAGAUAUGGCCCUGUCCCUCAAGAAAUCUUUCUCUGAAGCACGACCAGCACCCUGCUGCACGCCAGGCCGGCUAGAUCCUUGUGUCGGUGAAGUCAUACACAAGAAAAGGAAAAACAGCUCAUGCCUCUAAUUAAUUAUUAGACAAGUAAUAGACAUUUAGGUGUUAUUUAUUCUAAAUUGAUAUCAGGAAGCAUCAACGGUUCAGGAACGAAGAAACUUGAUUCAUCAAAUCCACAGCCUUCUGACAAGAUGGGUAGACAUGUGAAACACAUGACCCUCUCCUGGAGUCUCGAAAAUGUCUAUCACCCCUUCCCACCCACUCUUUCGUACUGCUUCGUAGUAAGAUAUGGCCCUGUCCCUCAAGAAAUCUUUCUCUGAAGCACAGACCAGCACCCUGCUGCACGCCAGGCCGGCUAGAUCCUUGUGUCGGUGAAGUCAUACACAAGAAAAAGGAAAAACAGCUCAUGCCUCUAAUUAAUUAUUAGACAAGUAAUAGACAUUUAGGUGUUAUCUUAUUCUAAAUUGGAUAUCAGGAGGCAUCAACGGUUCAGGAACGAAGAAACUUGAUUCAUCAAAUCCACAGCCUUCUGACAAGAUGGG